This is a non-coding RNA of Lolium perenne, 258 nucleotides long. Lineage: Eukaryota; Viridiplantae; Streptophyta; Magnoliopsida; Poales; Poaceae. The record is from RefSeq and is a predicted model, not a curated record.
CCGACUACAUGGAAUACCCCAAGUUUCUUUUGUACGUUCUACGUACCGAGGCAAGAUGUUGCUUCACGCAUGGCUACUGCAGCAAUGUUGCCUGGGCCAUCUAUUCCAAGACCGUCUCAGGUAUGUAAUAUAUAGUGCAAAGUAUGAACGUUGCCGUGUACUGCUUACAUCCAGUAUUGUAUUAACUUGGUCACAUCUGUCCCAUUUUUACAGAAUUACAGUGUUUGAUAUUUAUUAUUUCAAAAUUCUUACUGUUCC